RNAcentral lists this ribosomal RNA (484 nucleotides) under uncultured bacterium. Its description in RNAcentral is "partial 16S ribosomal RNA". It matches the Rfam family "Bacterial small subunit ribosomal RNA", at positions 30 to 507 of the family's 1533-position model. The record is from RNAcentral.
AUUGAACGCUGGUGGCAGGCCUAACACAUGCAAGUCGAGCGGAUGAAGGGAGCUUGCUCCUGGAUUCAGCGGCGGACGGGUGAGUAAUGCCUAGGAAUCUGCCUGGUAGUGGGGGAUAACGUCCGGAAACGGGCGCUAAUACCGCAUACGUCCUGAGGGAGAAAGUGGGGGAUCUUCGGACCUCACGCUAUCAGAUGAGCCUAGGUCGGAUUAGCUAGUUGGUGGGGUAAAGGCCUACCAAGGCGACGAUCCGUAACUGGUCUGAGAGGAUGAUCAGUCACACUGGAACUGAGACACGGUCCAGACUCCUACGGGAGGCAGCAGUGGGGAAUAUUGGACAAUGGGCGAAAGCCUGAUCCAGCCAUGCCGCGUGUGUGAAGAGGGUCUUCGGAUUGUAAAGCACUUUAAGUUGGGAGGAAGGGCAGUAAGUUAAUACCUUGCUGUUUUGACGUUACCAACAGAAUAAGCACCGGCUAACUUCGUG